ACACACAGUCGCUCACCCGCGCCGGGCGCCCGCCCGCCGGCCGCUCGGGCUACGCGCAGCGCGCGGGCUGAGCCGACAUAGAGGAAGCCGGCGAGGGCGGAGGCGGCGGCGGCGGCGGAGGAGGAGGAGGUCGCGGCUGCAGGCGCCGCUGGAGCUGCCGCCGGAGCUGCUGCGGCGAGCGCCGCUGGAGGAGCCGGGACCCGGGCCGGAGUCCGAGCAGGAGUCGGGGCCGCAGCCGGAGCGCGAGCGGAGGCCGGGGCCGCCCGCGGCGCCGCCGCUGUCCCGGCGGGAGCCCUCGCCGGGCUCGGGAGUGCGGGGAGCGCGCAGGUAGAUGAAACUCAAGAGAAAAGGUGUGGAUAAAUGAAACUAGCCCAUGAUGAACCUGUUUUCUCCGUGACCACAAUAUUAACCAGGAUGAAUGGCGGUGGCAGUGGGCCUGCAUCACAGGUUGCAGCAGAUGUUCUCAAUAUUUCUAUUAAAAUUUCCUUAUUUCCAUAUGCAAGAGGAGCCCCAGAGCUGCAUCCUUAUGGUAGCUACCAUGCCGUGAUGUAAGCUGCCAUUCACUGGGGAGCUUUGGCAAUAGAAUUGGCUAGAUCAGGAAGCCUAUGUCAACUAUGGAACAACAACUUGCAGCUCAUCUCUAUUGAUGGUGAAACAGUCGCAAAUGGAAUUCCAAGAAACAUUCUAUCAUCAGGUAUUAUCUACUGCUGUCUGCAGAAUUCAGACAUGGAGGGCUCAAUGGUGUCCCCUGGUCUUUGGAACAUUCUGUAUUUUAAUGAUCAUGAUACACUGCCUCUAGGACUGGGACAGAUAGCCACUGAGUACCUGCUUCAAAUCACCCUGCACGUUUUCUCUUUGGAAAGAUAAGCACUGGAGAACCAUCUCGUUACCUUCAGCAGAAAUGGAAACAAAUCAAGACAUUAAGAAUGCCGCAGUGGACAGCAGUUAUGCAAGGUUCAGCAGAGGAAGUUUUCAAGAUGGUGUGCCUCACUAGCCAGAAAUCAGAAAAGAUCGAAGCUAGCCUUUUCAUCUCAGCUGCUCCUUAAAUCAGUGCAACCCCUCCAAAUUAAUGUGAAUUGAAACUUGCAUUGCUUUUCAACUUAAUUGAAUACUUACUAUAUGUGAACCACUGCACAAAAUAGGGGAAGAAGAUGUGGGAGACAAAGAUGUGGAGCCUGUCUUCAAUAAAUUUACAGUUAGUUUCAGGGUACAUUGUUUUUCUUCUGCUGUUAAUUAGGUGUAUCCCCAAGACAAUAAAUACAUGAAUGGAAAAGUAUAUUCUGUGUUUUAAGUCUCUUUAAUAAAAAACAAAACAAAAUCCAAAAAAACUCCUAACAUGGCAACUCAGGACAUUUUAAUCCUUUUUUUUGUUGUUGGGCUUCUGAUAGGAUCCAUUUUAUUGAUUCCAUAAAUAUUUAGUAGACUUUAGACAUAUUAAUACAUUGUAGUUUGAGUUAAUUUGCAUUAAAUUCUGUUUUUUUCCCCUUAGGUAUAGAUUGUCUGUUGGAAAAAUAUAUUGCUUGUGGAUUUCUUGGGGAGUGGGAAGGUGAAUUAUACCUGUUGUCUCUACAGUCCACUACCUUCCACACCCUAGGGCAGUGGUCCCCAACCUUCUUGGCACCAGGGAUCAGUUUCCUGGAAGACAAUUUUUCUGUGGAUGGUGUGGGGAUGGUUUUGGGAUGGAACUGUUCCACCUCAGAUCAUCAGGCAUUAGUUAGGCUCUCAUAACGAGUGCGCAGCCUAGAUCCCUCACAUGCACAGUUCACAGUAGGGUUUGCGCUGCUAUGAGAAUCUAAGGCUGCCACUGAUCUGACAGGAGGCAGAACUCAGGUGGCAAUGCUUACUGGCCCACUGCUCACCUCUUGCUGUGCGGCCUGGUUCCUAAUAGGCCAUGGACCCCCACAGACGGGUACUAGUCUGCAGCCUGUGGACCCCAGCCCUAGGGGCCUGCCAUUCUGAGUGAGUUAUUAGCAUGAAGAAGAGGAAGAUCUGGAUCAAACGUGGGUGAUGGUACUCAGAGACCCAAGAUAGGAUAGGGAUGGAACAAAAUCCAUCUGGGCAACGGCUCUAUGAAAAUUUGGCUAAGUAAUUAUUUCAGUAUUCAUUGUAUUCAUUGUCCUUCGUGUUCCAUAAGUUAAAUGACUGUCUAAUUUUUCCAAAAAUUUAUUUCUGACUUGAGAAUAAGUGUGUCAUGAUUUUCCCAGUGUAAAGACACUGAUAUAACUGUAGAUACCAGACAUUUUAUGUAGUGUCUAUGACACAUUUUAGUAUGUAUGAGCCAACAAUAGACAUGUCUUUGUCUUGAGGAGUGUCCAUCUGAAUUGAAAAUGUGUCAGCUUUUUUUUAACAUCAUCAACAGACUUCUUAAUUAAGCUGCCAAUACAUACUGCCAAUAGCACUGUGUGCUGUCUGAGAAAUGCAUUGUGUAAGUGCUAUUUCCAUCUUAUUAAAUAAACAAUGUUGCUCUGUAUAAACUGGAUUUAAAGUGUUCUUUGAAUGAGGCAUUAUAUUGCUCCAUAAAUAAUGUGAUGUGAAUUCUCAUAUGAUCCCUUUUAACUUAAUUUCUAAAAAAAUAUUAUUUGCUCCUCAGUAAGGAAUAGCUCUAAUUGGACUGGUAACUUUAGUGAUAUGAUUUGUCUGUAACAGGCUGAAUCGCCCCACUCCCAAACUCCUGGUCGUGAUACUGGAUAUUUGUUAUGCCACUUUUAGUUUGCAUGAGGUAUCUUCCAGGAAGUAUUAGUUAUUAACUUGUGUUCUACUAAACUGUAGAUAUUUAUUUCCUGUUCUGGAAGAUUUCUUGGAGUGUCCAUCUGUGCAUUCCUGGUGCCUAGUGUAGUCUUGCUAAUGGAAUAGCACCUUUAUUGGUGCUACUUAGGGGUUGGUAGCUUACAAUCAAUCUACUUGGAACGUAUCCAAAUAAACUGGAUAUUUUUAUACAGUC
This 2941-nucleotide long non-coding RNA is filed under the name Homo sapiens (human). RNAcentral describes it as "non-protein coding NR2F1-AS1:48". The record is from RNAcentral. Lineage: Eukaryota; Metazoa; Chordata; Mammalia; Primates; Hominidae.